This 406-nucleotide ribosomal RNA is filed under the name uncultured bacterium. Its description in RNAcentral is "partial 16S ribosomal RNA". It matches the Rfam family "Bacterial small subunit ribosomal RNA", at positions 30 to 526 of the family's 1533-position model. The record is from RNAcentral.
AUUGAACGCUGGCGGCAUGCCUAACACAUGCAAGUCGCACGAGUGGCGGACGGGUGAGUAAUGUCUGGGAAACUGCCUGAUGGAGGGGGAUAACUACUGGAAACGUUAGCUAAUACCGCAUACCAUCGGAUGUGCCCAGAUUGGAUUAGCUAGUAGGUGGGGUAAAGGCUCACCUAGGCGACGAUCCCUAGCUGGUCUGAGAGGAUGACCAGCCACACUGGAACUGAGACACGGUCCAGACUCCUACGGGAGGCAGCAGUGGGGAAUAUUGCACAAUGGGCGAAAGCCUGAUGCAGCCAUGCCGCGUGUAUGAAGAAGGCCUUCGGGUUGUAAAGUACGUUCAGCGGGGAGGCGUUACCCGCAGAAGAAGCACCGGCUAACUCCGUGCCAGCAGCCGCGGUAAUUC